CCCUUGGAGUGUUAUAGCAAACAAAAGUAGCUCAGGUGAAAUUGGACACGGUGAAUAGGGAA
RNAcentral lists this small RNA (62 nucleotides) under Clostridium grantii DSM 8605. RNAcentral describes it as "RAGATH-18 RNA". It matches the Rfam family "RAGATH-18 RNA". Rfam says of the family: Actinobacteria, Firmicutes, Fusobacteria, Thermotogae (1 example). Nearby to self-cleaving ribozyme genes The record is from Rfam by way of RNAcentral. Lineage: Bacteria; Bacillati; Bacillota; Clostridia; Eubacteriales; Clostridiaceae.